RNAcentral lists this unclassified non-coding RNA (379 nucleotides) under uncultured Oligoflexales bacterium. RNAcentral describes it as "contains 16S-23S intergenic spacer region". The record is from RNAcentral. Lineage: Bacteria; Pseudomonadati; Bdellovibrionota; Oligoflexia; Oligoflexales.
UCCGUGUUAACCACGGCAGUCUCUUUAGAGUGCCCAACUGAAUGCUGGCAACUAAAGACAAGGGUUGCGCUCGUUGCGGGACUUAACCCAACAUGUCACCACACGAGCUGACGACAGCCAUGCAGCACCUGUCUUCUGGUCGUAUUGCUACGAAGACCGUAUCUCUACGGCUGUCCAGAGAUGUCAAACCCAGGUAAGGUUCUUCGCGUUGCUUCGAAUUAAACCACAUGAUCCACCGCUUGUGCGGGCCCCCGUCAAUUCCUUUGAGUUUUAGUCUUGCGACCGUACUUCCCAGGCGGGGUACUUAUCGCGUUAGCUCCGGCUCGGCAGGGGUCAAGACCCACCAAGCCUAGUACCCAUCGUUUACGGCGUGGACUAC